This is a non-coding RNA of Triticum aestivum (bread wheat), 134 nucleotides long. The record is from Rfam. NCBI's taxonomy places the organism in Eukaryota, Viridiplantae, Streptophyta, Magnoliopsida, Poales, Poaceae.
AAAUUACUCCCUCCGUCCCAAAAUUCUUGUCUUAGAUUUGUCUAGAUACAGAUGUAUCAAGUCACAUUUUAGUAUUAAUACAUCCGUAUCUAGACAAAUCUAAGACAAGAAAUUUGGGACAGAGGGAGUAGUUG